Molecule: non-coding RNA, 94 nt
Organism: Mycena polygramma
Lineage: Eukaryota; Fungi; Basidiomycota; Agaricomycetes; Agaricales; Mycenaceae
Source: the annotation of a GenBank genome assembly
GGCUCAGUAGUGUAACGGUUGCACGCCUUCUUUUCAAUGCGCCAAACAAAGAUCUCUGCUAGAGGAAGUCCUGGUUCGAAUCCGGGCUGAGCCA